CGUAUAUUAAAGUUGUUGCAGUUAAAAAGCUCGUAGUUGGAUUUGUGGUGUGUGGUGUGUUCCGGGCACUUGUUGUCCGAGUAACACGCUGCUGCCAUCCUUGGGUGGAACCUGUAUGGCAUUAGGUUGUCGUGCAGGGGAUGCCCAUCUUUUACUGUGAAAAAAUUAGAGUGUUCAAAGCAGGCUUAUGCCGUUGAAUAUAUUAGCAUGGAAUAAUGAGAUAGGACUUUUUCGCUAUUUUGUUGGUUUGCGCGAAGAGGUAAUGAUUAAUAGGGACAGUUGGGGG
RNAcentral lists this ribosomal RNA (286 nucleotides) under uncultured diatom. Its description in RNAcentral is "partial 18S ribosomal RNA". It matches the Rfam family "Eukaryotic small subunit ribosomal RNA", at positions 598 to 888 of the family's 1831-position model. The record is from RNAcentral. Lineage: Eukaryota; Bacillariophyta.